RNAcentral lists this ribosomal RNA (391 nucleotides) under Chrysophyceae sp. Its description in RNAcentral is "partial small subunit ribosomal RNA". It matches the Rfam family "Eukaryotic small subunit ribosomal RNA", at positions 582 to 975 of the family's 1831-position model. The record is from RNAcentral. Lineage: Eukaryota; Chrysophyceae.
AUUCCAGCUCCAAUAGCGUAUACUAAAGUUGUUGCAGUUAAAAAGCUCGUAGUUGAAUUUCUGGUCUUGGACAGCGGUCUGCCUCAAACGAGGUACGCACCAUCUAUCCGAGUCCAUCCUCGGGGAAAACAUGUCUGUGAUUCAGUUCAUGGGCAUGGGAUCCUCGACAUUUACUGUGAGCAAAAUAGAGUGUUCAAAGCAGGCUUAUGCCGUUGAAUAUUUUAGCAUGGAAUAAUAAGAUAAGACCUUGGUCUAUUUUGUUGGUUUGUACUCCAAGGUAAUGAUUAAUAGGGACAGUUGGGGGUAUUCGUAUUCAAUUGUCAGAGGUGAAAUUCUUGGAUUUAUUGAAGACGAACUACUGCGAAAGCAUUUACCAAGGAUGUUUUCAUCG